GGUCUCCUCGCGAGGGCCUGGGCCGCUCUGGGCGCUCGGCCCGCGUGUCGGGGGCUCCCCGGGGCGCCCUGGGCUCCUGCUGCUGUUUCUUCCUGGCCGGCCUUGAGAAACCAUUUCCGCCGCUGACGUGCGUCUACGCCCAUCAUUUCAGCUGACACGUUGCUGUAACGUCUCCUCCGUUUCAUGCUCUUUCGAACCCUGUCAGCUGCGGGAAGGAACUUCUAAACUAAAAGCUGGCAAGACUCAGCAGAAAAAAAAUAUCGAAAGCUGCUUCUGCUGCCCCAGCUUCACUCAGGCCCUGGCUGCUCCUUCACUGGUCUACACUGCUGCCUCCUGGAACCACCCACUCUGCAACCAGGUCUGAUGCCCGGUGUGGACAUUCAGGGAUGAGGUCCCCUGGGGCUAAAUGAAUGAACAGAUUCUGAAAAGCAGAAGCUACGUCCGGGGGUCUCUGGGCCACAAAUCACUUUCUGACCUGCAGCCGUGAGGCGUGAGGCUCACUCGGAAGCUCCCGGAACCUGGAGACUGCCCUCACUCAACACUUGAACAAGCAAGGGGCCAGGUUCAAUGAAACACCUGCCCGCCCGGCACACCAGGCUCAAAAGCAAGCAAGCAAGCAAACAAACAAACAAAAUCAAAUCAGGCCUUCACAACUCCCCAAAUCAUGUGUGAGUUUCUACAGAGCAGAAGCCAAAAAUAUAUGUUAUCUAACUAGGUCCUAUUUACAUAUAUUUUUAUGGCUGCUCUAAAAAAUUAUCACAAACAUAGCGGCUUCACCCCGUUUCCCCUGUUGUGAUUAUUACACAUUGGAUGCCUGUAUCAAAAUAUCUCAUGGACCCCAUAAAUAGCAACACCCUGUAUGUACUCAUGACAAUUUUUUAAAAAAGAACACUUACACUUUCCAUUUCUGCAGGUUAGACGUCUGAAAUGGUCUCCCUGGGCUAACAUCAGGUCUUGGGAGGGCUGGUUCCUUCUAGAGGCUCCAGGGGAGAACCCCUCGGCCCUCAGUCCCAUCCUCCGUCUUCAGAGCCAGUGGUGUCUCGUCACUGAGACCUGCUCUGCCCUCCGCCUCUAUGUUGAAGGGCCCGAGAUUCUACUGGGUCCCCCCGGAUAAUCCAGGGUCACCCCUCCGUGUCAGGCGGCUGACUGGCAGCCUCAUGUGUCCACAGUUUCCGUGCACCGGGAGGUGGGCAUGUUUAGGGGCCCCCAUUCUGCCUCCCAUGAGUCUGCAGGGCCUGACUUUGUAAUUUGGGAUCAUUCUUAGGGUACCCAGAUACAACAAACAAAAACGCAGCAAACAAAAACACAGGGUGCCCAGCUCAACAGGAAGUUUGGAGAAGCAGUGACUGAUUUUUUAGUCUCCCGACCUGGGGUACAGCGAGAAGGAGGAGACGGAGGCAGACCGGCACGGGGUGGUCAGGGACAGCGGUGCUGACACACGGCUGCUCAAAGAUGACUUGGAACUCGAGGCCCAGCUCGUUAUUCUGGGGGUGACUGGCUCCCAGUGUCUGGACGGGUCUGAGCCCCACCACAGCUGGCCUGGACUGGACUGGAAACCGUGCCCAUUAACGACCCCUGGGCCACCCAGAGCCCCCAGCUCCGGAGACCCCGGGGUCUGGUUUGUGGCUGUUUGUCGCCCACGGGCCCCUCCACCAGCUCCUUUCGGUAAAGAGUAUGGCCUCCUAGAUACCGACCUCAUGCCAUACGGAUGCAGUCAGGCUCUGGCGGUCAGGAAGGUGGCUCCGGAGCUCGGCUCUGCACCGCAUCCUCUGCCCCCUGUUUCCCGAGAUUGCUCCUGGACACACCUUUCUCUCCCGCCCUGUGGGCCAUCGUGGCGCAGACCGUGGAGCAGGGGCAGCUCUUACCCCUGGGUCUGGCAUCAGGAGCGUGUCCCACCGGCUCUGUUGCCGCAGCCUCAAAGCCCCACGUGGGGCAGCAGCCGGAUCGGCACUGGGGGAGCCGGAAUCCAUCAACCUCGGCCUCAGAUCAGCAUCCGCCCAGCCCUCCUGCCCCACAUCCGAGCCAUUUCAAGGGCUGCAGGGACAUUGGGAUGAUGGGGAAGUGGGCCGAGGACAGCCCCAGGGAAGGCUUUGUCUGAACUCCUCAAAUCACCGGGCGCUGACAUUUGGGAUUUUUGCCUUCCUGGCGCACCCCCACCCCACAUGCACACUCACGUGCAUGGCGUCGGCAGGAUGUGGGUGCUGCAGAGGUGCCCCCACUUCUGUGUCUCCCACGCAGCCCCGGGAACCUGGGCCCCACAGGAGCCAGGAGCUGCAGCACAGGACCAAGAAGCUUGACCUUUUCUCCCCAACUGCUAAAUCGCCAGUCCUUUGGAGCAACAGUGUCCUCUACAUAAAGGAGCAGUUAGACUAAUUUAAAACAGUAUUGACCUUUCCUUCCUGCCCUUUUCAUUUUGACUAAAUUACAGGGUGCGGCUCUGCAAUUCGCCUUCCGGUCUGUGAGUGACUCCGAGUCAGCACCCACCUUGCCUUGCUGCUUAAUCAAGGAGAGUGCUGCUGCUGGUGAUGCAGGGCAGGGCACCAACGCCCUGGGGCGAUGCAGGGCAGGGCACCAUCCACCAACGCCCCGACCCAGCGUCUCUCGUGGGGUCAAGGUUACAAGGAAGGCGGGCCAGGGGCGAGGCCUGCCUCUGUCCACAGGCAGACACGGAUGCCGAGGCUGGAAGGACCUUCCUGGCCCUCUCCUAACGGAGGCCCCGAGAGGGGAGGAGGCUGCAGGGAUCAUCCAGCCCCUCAGGGCAGCACUCAGACCAGCCUCAGGGCCAUCAGCCAGGACGGCCGGUAUCCUUGACUCUUGCUUCAGGUCCCAACACUCUAUUUCAAGGGGAUGCUGGGCCCUCCCCAAUAACUCCCCACCGUGUCCCAGGAGAGCCUCCAGCUGGCCAAGAAGCCUCACCUGGCUCACAGCUUUGCUGCCCUUAAACUGAGGUCACAACAGGCCCUGGUGUCAGUGCAGCCUUGGCUCCCAAGGGUGACACAUCCGCGC
This 3006-nucleotide long non-coding RNA is filed under the name Homo sapiens (human). Its description in RNAcentral is "non-protein coding HAR1B:5". Lineage: Eukaryota; Metazoa; Chordata; Mammalia; Primates; Hominidae. The record is from RNAcentral.